CCUACGGGUGGCUGCAGUGGGGAAUAUUGCACAAUGGGCGCAAGCCUGAUGCAGCCAUGCCGCGUGUGUGAAGAAGGCCUUCGGGUUGUAAAGCACUUUCAGCGGGGAGGAAGGCGGUGAGGUUAAUAACCUCAUCGAUUGACGUUACCCGCAGAAGAAGCACCGGCUAACUCCGUGCCAGCAGCCGCGGUAAUACGGAGGGUGCAAGCGUUAAUCGGAAUUACUGGGCGUAAAGCGCACGCAGGCGGUCUGUCAAGUCGGAUGUGAAAUCCCCGGACUCAACCUGGGAACUGCAUUCGAAACUGGCAGGCUAGAGUCUUGUAGAGGGGGGUAGAAUUCCAGGUGUAGCGGUGAAAUGCGUAGAGAUCUGGAGGAAUACCGGUGGCGAAGGCGGCCCCCUGGACAAAGACUGACGCUCAGGUGCGAAAGCGUGGGGAGCAAACAGGAUUAGAUACCCCAGUAGUC
Molecule: ribosomal RNA, 465 nt
Filed under: uncultured Klebsiella sp.
Lineage: Bacteria; Pseudomonadati; Pseudomonadota; Gammaproteobacteria; Enterobacterales; Enterobacteriaceae
Description: bacterial SSU rRNA
Rfam family: Bacterial small subunit ribosomal RNA
Source: RNAcentral